UACGACUACAUAUCAGGCAUAUCAAUAAGCGGAGGAAAAGAAACUAACAAGGAUUCCCUUAGUAACGGCGAGUGAAGCGGGAAGAGCUCAAAUUUGAAAUCUUCAAGGUUUUACCUUGACGAAUUGUAGUUUAAAGAAGUGUUUUCUGUUGAAGUUUUGGUAAAAGUUCUUUGGAAUAGGACAUCAUAGAGGGUGAGAAUCCCGUAUUUGACCAUUAUUUUCAGCUGUGUGAUACACUUUCAAAGAGUCGGAUUGUUUGGGAAUGCAGUCCAAAAUGGGUGGUAAAUUUCAUCUAAAGCUAAAUAUUGGCGAGAGACCGAUAGCGAACAAGUACCGUGAGGGAAAGAUGAAAAGAACUUUGAAAAGAGAGUUAAACAGUACGUGAAAUUGUCAAAAGGGAAGCGUUUGACACCAGUGUUGUUUCUACGAAAAUCAAUUUAUGAUGGCUUGAUGCUAAGCUUUAAGACUUUAUCCGCUUGUUGUUUAGUUUUCUUGUCUUUGUGAAUGCACUUUUCGUGGAACAAGUCAACAUCAAUUUCUUUUGCUGUAAAAGGGUAAGAGGAAGGUGGCUUCGGCUUCGGUUGAAGUGUUUAUAGCCUUUUAUCUCUGCAGUCGGAGAGAUUGAGGUCUGCAGCGUAGACUCUUCGGGGUUAGAUACGUCGGUGCUAAGCCUAUAGCUUUUCAUAGACAACUUGUUGACUAUGUUUAGUCAUGUGGCUUACCCGCUGGCGCUAUUUUACCUACGCUUAGGAUGUUGAGCGCAUGUCUCUCUCU
Molecule: ribosomal RNA, 774 nt
Filed under: uncultured Neocallimastigales
Lineage: Eukaryota; Fungi; Neocallimastigomycota; Neocallimastigomycetes; Neocallimastigales
Description: partial large subunit ribosomal RNA
Rfam family: Eukaryotic large subunit ribosomal RNA
Source: RNAcentral